RNAcentral lists this ribosomal RNA (371 nucleotides) under uncultured organism. RNAcentral describes it as "partial 16S ribosomal RNA". It matches the Rfam family "Bacterial small subunit ribosomal RNA", at positions 527 to 896 of the family's 1533-position model. The record is from RNAcentral.
GUAGGUGGCAAGCGUUGUCCGGAAUUAUUGGGCGUAAAGCGCGCGCAGGCGGUUCUUUAAGUCUGAUGUGAAAGCCCACGGCUCAACCGUGGAGGGUCAUUGGAAACUGGAGAACUUGAGUACAGAAGAGGAAAGCGGAAUUCCACGUGUAGCGGUGAAAUGCGUAGAGAUGUGGAGGAACACCAGUGGCGAAGGCGGCUUUCUGGUCUGUAACUGACGCUGAGGCGCGAAAGCGUGGGGAGCAAACAGGAUUAGAUACCCUGGUAGUCCACGCCGUAAACGAUGAGUGCUAAGUGUUAGGGGGUUUCCGCCCCCUUAGUGCUGCAGCUAACGCAUUAAGCACUCCGCCUGGGAGUACGGCCGCGAGGCUG